Molecule: non-coding RNA, 73 nt
Organism: Megaselia scalaris
Lineage: Eukaryota; Metazoa; Arthropoda; Insecta; Diptera; Phoridae
Source: Rfam
UUGUGAUAGCUAGCGUUUGGCUUAUUGGUAGUUAUGUUUGGAAUCUAUCAUAAGACACACGCGGCUAUUAUGG